AUUGAACGCUGGCGGCAGGCCUAACACAUGCAAGUCGAACGAGUGGCGGACGGGUGAGUAAUGUCUGGGAAACUGCCUGAUGGAGGGGUAUAACUACUGGAAACGGUAGCUAAUACCGCAUACCAUCAGAUGUGCCCAGAGGGGAUUAGCUUGUUGGUGGGGUAACGGCUCACACAGGCGACGAUCCCUAGCUGGUCUGAGAGGAUGACCAGCCACACUGGCACGGAGACACGGUCCAGACGCCUACGUGAGGCAGCAGUGGGGAAUAUUGCACAAUGGGCGCAAGUCUGAUGGAGCCAUGCCGCGUGUAUGAAGAAGGCUUUCGGGUUGUAAAGUACUUUCAGCGGGGAGGCGGUACCCGCAGAAGAAGCACCGGCUAACUCCGGGCCAGCAGCCGCGGUAAUUC
Molecule: ribosomal RNA, 406 nt
Filed under: uncultured bacterium
Lineage: Bacteria
Description: partial 16S ribosomal RNA
Rfam family: Bacterial small subunit ribosomal RNA
Source: RNAcentral